AGCGUACACGGUGGAUGCCCUGGCAGUCAGAGGCGAUGAAGGACGUGCUAAUCUGCGAUAAGCGUCGGUAAGGUGAUAUGAACCGUUAUAACCGGCGAUUUCCGAAUGGGGAAACCCAGUGUGUUUCGACACACUAUCAUUAACUGAAUCCAUAGGUUAAUGAGGCGAACCGGGGGAACUGAAACAUCUAAGUACCCCGAGGAAAAGAAAUCAACCGAGAUUCCCCCAGUAGCGGCGAGCGAACGGGGAGCAGCCCAGAGCCUGAAUCAGUGUGUGUGUUAGUGGAAGCGUCUGGAAAGGCGCGCGAUACAGGGUGACAGCCCCGUACACAAAAAUGCACAUGCUGUGAGCUCGAUGAGUAGGGCGGGACACGUGGUAUCCUGUCUGAAUAUGGGGGGACCAUCCUCCAAGGCUAAAUACUCCUGACUGACCGAUAGUGAACCAGUACCGUGAGGGAAAGGCGAAAAGAACCCCGGCGAGGGGAGUGAAAAAGAACCUGAAACCGUGUACGUACAAGCAGUGGGAGCACGCUUAGGCGUGUGACUGCGUACCUUUUGUAUAAUGGGUCAGCGACUUAUAUUCUGUAGCAAGGUUAACCGAAUAGGGGAGCCGAAGGGAAACCGAGUCUUAACUGGGCGUUAAGUUGCAGGGUAUAGACCCGAAACCCGGUGAUCUAGCCAUGGGCAGGUUGAAGGUUGGGUAACACUAACUGGAGGACCGAACCGACUAAUGUUGAAAAAUUAGCGGAUGACUUGUGGCUGGGGGUGAAAGGCCAAUCAAACCGGGAGAUAGCUGGUUCUCCCCGAAAGCUAUUUAGGUAGCGCCUCGUGAAUUCAUCUCCGGGGGUAGAGCACUGUUUCGGCAAGGGGGUCAUCCCGACUUACCAACCCGAUGCAAACUGCGAAUACCGGAGAAUGUUAUCACGGGAGACACACGGCGGGUGCUAACGUCCGUCGUGAAGAGGGAAACAACCCAGACCGCCAGCUAAGGUCCCAAAGUCAUGGUUAAGUGGGAAACGAUGUGGGAAGGCCCAGACAGCCAGGAUGUUGGCUUAGAAGCAGCCAUCAUUUAAAGAAAGCGUAAUAGCUCACUGGUCGAGUCGGCCUGCGCGGAAGAUGUAACGGGGCUAAACCAUGCACCGAAGCUGCGGCAGCGACGCUUAUGCGUUGUUGGGUAGGGGAGCGUUCUGUAAGCCUGCGAAGGUGUGCUGUGAGGCAUGCUGGAGGUAUCAGAAGUGCGAAUGCUGACAUAAGUAACGAUAAAGCGGGUGAAAAGCCCGCUCGCCGGAAGACCAAGGGUUCCUGUCCAACGUUAAUCGGGGCAGGGUGAGUCGACCCCUAAGGCGAGGCCGAAAGGCGUAGUCGAUGGGAAACAGGUUAAUAUUCCUGUACUUGGUGUUACUGCGAAGGGGGGACGGAGAAGGCUAUGUUGGCCGGGCGACGGUUGUCCCGGUUUAAGCGUGUAGGCUGGUUUUCCAGGCAAAUCCGGAAAAUCAAGGCUGAGGCGUGAUGACGAGGCACUACGGUGCUGAAGCAACAAAUGCCCUGCUUCCAGGAAAAGCCUCUAAGCAUCAGGUAACAUCAAAUCGUACCCCAAACCGACACAGGUGGUCAGGUAGAGAAUACCAAGGCGCUUGAGAGAACUCGGGUGAAGGAACUAGGCAAAAUGGUGCCGUAACUUCGGGAGAAGGCACGCUGAUAUGUAGGUGAAGUCCCUCGCGGAUGGAGCUGAAAUCAGUCGAAGAUACCAGCUGGCUGCAACUGUUUAUUAAAAACACAGCACUGUGCAAACACGAAAGUGGACGUAUACGGUGUGACGCCUGCCCGGUGCCGGAAGGUUAAUUGAUGGGGUUAGCCGCAAGGCGAAGCUCUUGAUCGAAGCCCCGGUAAACGGCGGCCGUAACUAUAACGGUCCUAAGGUAGCGAAAUUCCUUGUCGGGUAAGUUCCGACCUGCACGAAUGGCGUAAUGAUGGCCAGGCUGUCUCCACCCGAGACUCAGUGAAAUUGAACUCGCUGUGAAGAUGCAGUGUACCCGCGGCAAGACGGAAAGACCCCGUGAACCUUUACUAUAGCUUGACACUGAACAUUGAGCCUUGAUGUGUAGGAUAGGUGGGAGGCUUAGAAGUGUGGACGCCAGUCUGCAUGGAGCCGACCUUGAAAUACCACCCUUUAAUGUUUGAUGUUCUAACGUUGACCCGUAAUCCGGGUUGCGGACAGUGUCUGGUGGGUAGUUUGACUGGGGCGGUCUCCUCCUAAAGAGUAACGGAGGAGCACGAAGGUUGGCUAAUCCUGGUCGGACAUCAGGAGGUUAGUGCAAUGGCAUAAGCCAGCUUGACUGCGAGCGUGACGGCGCGAGCAGGUGCGAAAGCAGGUCAUAGUGAUCCGGUGGUUCUGAAUGGAAGGGCCAUCGCUCAACGGAUAAAAGGUACUCCGGGGAUAACAGGCUGAUACCGCCCAAGAGUUCAUAUCGACGGCGGUGUUUGGCACCUCGAUGUCGGCUCAUCACAUCCUGGGGCUGAAGUAGGUCCCAAGGGUAUGGCUGUUCGCCAUUUAAAGUGGUACGCGAGCUGGGUUUAGAACGUCGUGAGACAGUUCGGUCCCUAUCUGCCGUGGGCGCUGGAGAACUGAGGGGGGCUGCUCCUAGUACGAGAGGACCGGAGUGGACGCAUCACUGGUGUUCGGGUUGUCAUGCCAAUGGCACUGCCCGGUAGCUAAAUGCGGAAGAGAUAAGUGCUGAAAGCAUCUAAGCACGAAACUUGCCCCGAGAUGAGUUCU
RNAcentral lists this ribosomal RNA (2775 nucleotides) under Escherichia coli. Its description in RNAcentral is "bacterial LSU rRNA". It matches the Rfam family "Bacterial large subunit ribosomal RNA". The record is from RNAcentral. Lineage: Bacteria; Pseudomonadati; Pseudomonadota; Gammaproteobacteria; Enterobacterales; Enterobacteriaceae.